GUGACCUCAAAUCAGGUAGGAUUACCCGCUGAACUUAAGCAUAUCAAUAAGCGGAGGAAAAGAAACUAACAAGGAUUCCCCUAGUAACUGCGAGUGAAGCGGGAAAAGCUCAAAUUUAAAAUCUGGCAGUCUUUGGCUGUCCGAGUUGUAAUCUAGAGAAGUGCUAUCCGCGCUGGACCGUGUACAAGUCUCCUGGAAUGGAGCGUCAUAGAGGGUGAGAAUCCCGUCUUUGACACGGACUGCCAGGGCUUUGUGAUGUGCUCUCAAAGAGUCGAGUUGUUUGGGAAUGCAGCUCAAAAUGGGUGGUAAAUUCCAUCUAAAGCUAAAUAUUGGCGAGAGACCGAUAGCGAACAAGUACCGUGAGGGAAAGAUGAAAAGAACUUUGGAAAGAGAGUUAAACAGUACGUGAAAUUGCUGAAAGGGAAACGCUUGAAGUCAGUCGCGUUGUCCAGGGAUCAACCUUGCUUUUGCUUGGUGCACUUUCUGGUUGACGGGUCAGCAUCAAUUUUGACCAUUGGAAAAAGAUUGGGGGAAUGUGGCAUCUUAGGAUGUGUUAUAGCCCUUGGUUGCAUGCAAUGGUUGGGAUUGAGGAACUCAGCACGCCGCAAGGCCGGGUUUUCAACCACGUACGUGCUUAGGAUGCUGGCAUAAUGGCUUUAAUCGACCCGU
RNAcentral lists this ribosomal RNA (669 nucleotides) under Cortinarius obtusus. Its description in RNAcentral is "eukaryotic LSU rRNA". It matches the Rfam family "Eukaryotic large subunit ribosomal RNA", at positions 1 to 652 of the family's 3401-position model. Lineage: Eukaryota; Fungi; Basidiomycota; Agaricomycetes; Agaricales; Cortinariaceae. RNAcentral also lists the same sequence under 1 other name. The record is from RNAcentral.